CCUACGGGGGGCUGCAGUGAGGAAUAUUGGUCAAUGGGAGAGAUCCUGAACCAGCCAAGCCGCGUGAGGGAAGACGGCCCUAUGGGUUGUAAACCUCUUUUGUCGGAGAACAAAACCCGGGACGUGUCCCGGACUGCGUGUACCCGAAGAAAAAGCAUCGGCUAACUCCGUGCCAGCAGCCGCGGUAAUACGGAGGAUGCGAGCGUUAUCCGGAUUUAUUGGGUUUAAAGGGUGCGUAGGCGGUCCGUUAAGUCAGUGGGAAAAUUGCGGGGCUCAACCCCGUCGAGCCGUUGAAACUGGCAGACUUGAGUUGGCGAGAAGUACGCGGAAUGCGCGGUGUAGCGGUGAAAUGCAUAGAUAUCGCGCAGAACUCCGAUUGCGAAGGCAGCGUACCGGCGCCAGACUGACGCUGAGGCACGAAAGCGUGGGGAUCGAACAGGAUUAGAUACCCCAGUAGUC
Molecule: ribosomal RNA, 459 nt
Filed under: uncultured bacterium
Lineage: Bacteria
Description: partial 16S ribosomal RNA
Rfam family: Bacterial small subunit ribosomal RNA
Source: RNAcentral